UACGAAGGGGGCUAGCGUUGCUCGGAAUCACUUGGGCGUAAAGGGUGCGUAGGCGGGUCUUUAAGUCAGUGGUGAAAGCCCGGAGCUCAACUCCGGAACUGCCAUUGAAACUGUUUAGCUUGAGGACGAGAGAGGUGAGUGGAAUUCCCAGUGUAGAGGUGAAAUUCGUAGAUAUUGGGAAGAACACCGGUGGCGAAGGCGGCUCACUGGCUCGUAUCUGACGCUCAGGCGCGACAGCGUGGGGAUCAAACAGG
RNAcentral lists this ribosomal RNA (254 nucleotides) under uncultured bacterium. RNAcentral describes it as "partial 16S ribosomal RNA". It matches the Rfam family "Bacterial small subunit ribosomal RNA", at positions 524 to 776 of the family's 1533-position model. The record is from RNAcentral.